AGUCGCCGCGGUAAUACGGAGGGUGCAAGCGUUAAUCGGAAUUACUGGGCGUAAAGCGCACGCAGGCGGUCUGACAAGUCAGAUGUGAAAUCCCCGGGCUUAACCUGGGAACUGCAUUUGAAACUGUCAGGCUGGAGUCUUGUAGAGGGGGGUGGAAUUCCAGGUGUAGCGGUGAAAUGCGUAGAGAUCUGGAGGAAUACCGGUGGCGAAGGCGGCCCCCUGGACAAAGACUGACGCUCAGGUGCGAAAGCGUGGGGAGCAAACAGGAUUAGAUACCCCUGUAGUCCCUGUCUAUUAUACA
Molecule: ribosomal RNA, 301 nt
Filed under: uncultured bacterium
Lineage: Bacteria
Description: partial 16S ribosomal RNA
Rfam family: Bacterial small subunit ribosomal RNA
Source: RNAcentral